RNAcentral lists this ribosomal RNA (1972 nucleotides) under Klebsiella quasipneumoniae. Its description in RNAcentral is "23S ribosomal RNA". It matches the Rfam family "Bacterial large subunit ribosomal RNA", at positions 890 to 2839 of the family's 2925-position model. Lineage: Bacteria; Pseudomonadati; Pseudomonadota; Gammaproteobacteria; Enterobacterales; Enterobacteriaceae. The record is from RNAcentral.
UCAUCUUCGGGGGUAGAGCACUGUUUCGGCUAGGGGGUCAUCCCGACUUACCAACCCGAUGCAAACUACGAAUACCGAAGAAUGUUAUCACGGGAGACACACGGCGGGUGCUAACGUCCGUCGUGAAGAGGGAAACAACCCAGACCGCCAGCUAAGGUCCCAAAGUCAUGGUUAAGUGGGAAACGAUGUGGGAAGGCACAGACAGCCAGGAUGUUGGCUUAGAAGCAGCCAUCAUUUAAAGAAAGCGUAAUAGCUCACUGGUCGAGUCGGCCUGCGCGGAAGAUGUAACGGGGCUAAACCAUGCACCGAAGCUGCGGCAGCGACACUAUGUGUUGUUGGGUAGGGGAGCGUUCUGUAAGCCUGCGAAGGUGGCCUGUGAGGGUUGCUGGAGGUAUCAGAAGUGCGAAUGCUGACAUAAGUAACGAUAAAGCGGGUGAAAAGCCCGCUCGCCGGAAGACCAAGGGUUCCUGUCCAACGUUAAUCGGGGCAGGGUGAGUCGACCCCUAAGGCGAGGCCGAAAGGCGUAGUCGAUGGGAAACAGGUUAAUAUUCCUGUACUUGGUGUUACUGCGAAGGGGGGACGGAGAAGGCUAUGUUAGCCGGGCGACGGUUGUCCCGGUUUAAGCAUGUAGGCUGGUUAUCCAGGCAAAUCCGGAUAAUCAAGGCUGAGGUGUGAUGACGAGGCACUACGGUGCUGAAGUAACAAAUGCCCUGCUUCCAGGAAAAGCCUCUAAGCAUCAGGUAACAUCAAAUCGUACCCCAAACCGACACAGGUGGUCAGGUAGAGAAUACCAAGGCGCUUGAGAGAACUCGGGUGAAGGAACUAGGCAAAAUGGUGCCGUAACUUCGGGAGAAGGCACGCUGGUGUGUAGGUGAAGUCCCUGCGGAUGGAGCUGAGACCAGUCGAAGAUACCAGCUGGCUGCAACUGUUUAUUAAAAACACAGCACUGUGCAAACACGAAAGUGGACGUAUACGGUGUGACGCCUGCCCGGUGCCGGAAGGUUAAUUGAUGGGGUUAUCCGUAAGGAGAAGCUCUUGAUCGAAGCCCCGGUAAACGGCGGCCGUAACUAUAACGGUCCUAAGGUAGCGAAAUUCCUUGUCGGGUAAGUUCCGACCUGCACGAAUGGCGUAAUGAUGGCCAGGCUGUCUCCACCCGAGACUCAGUGAAAUUGAACUCGCUGUGAAGAUGCAGUGUACCCGCGGCAAGACGGAAAGACCCCGUGAACCUUUACUAUAGCUUGACACUGAACAUUGAGCCUUGAUGUGUAGGAUAGGUGGGAGGCUUUGAAGCGUGGACGCCAGUCUGCGUGGAGCCAACCUUGAAAUACCACCCUUUAAUGUUUGAUGUUCUAACGUUGGCCCCUUANCGGGGUUGCGGACAGUGUCUGGUGGGUAGUUUGACUGGGGCGGUCUCCUCCCAAAGCGUAACGGAGGAGCACGAAGGUUAGCUAAUCCUGGUCGGACAUCAGGAGGUUAGUGCAAUGGCAUAAGCUAGCUUGACUGCGAGCGUGACGGCGCGAGCAGGUGCGAAAGCAGGUCAUAGUGAUCCGGUGGUUCUGAAUGGAAGGGCCAUCGCUCAACGGAUAAAAGGUACUCCGGGGAUAACAGGCUGAUACCGCCCAAGAGUUCAUAUCGACGGCGGUGUUUGGCACCUCGAUGUCGGCUCAUCACAUCCUGGGGCUGAAGUAGGUCCCAAGGGUAUGGCUGUUCGCCAUUUAAAGUGGUACGCGAGCUGGGUUUAGAACGUCGUGAGACAGUUCGGUCCCUAUCUGCCGUGGGCGCUGGAGAAUUGAGGGGGGCUGCUCCUAGUACGAGAGGACCGGAGUGGACGCAUCACUGGUGUUCGGGUUGUCAUGCCAAUGGCACUGCCCGGUAGCUAAAUGCGGAAGAGAUAAGUGCUGAAAGCAUCUAAGCACGAAACUUGCCCCGAGAUGAGUUCUCCCUGAGACUUUAAGUCUCCUGAAGGAACGUU